GGACCCGCACAAGUAGUGGAGCAUGUGGUUUAAUUCGAAGAUACGCGCAGAACCUUACCAACACUUGACAUGUUCGUCGCGACUUAAGAGAUUAAAGUUUUCGGUUCGGCCGGACGAAACACAGGUGCUGCAUGGCUGUCGUCAGCUCGUGUCGUGAGAUGUUGGUUAAGUCCCGCAACGAGCGCAACCCUCACUUUUAGUUGCCAUCAUUAAGUUGGGCACUCUGAAAGAACUGCCAGUGAUAAGCUGGAGGAAGGUGGGGAUGACGUCAAGUCCUCAUGGCCCUUACGUGUUGGGCUACACACGUGCUACAAUGGCCGGUACAAACGGUUGCGAACCCGCGAGGGGAAGCUAA
This 355-nucleotide ribosomal RNA is filed under the name uncultured bacterium. RNAcentral's name for it is "bacterial SSU rRNA". It matches the Rfam family "Bacterial small subunit ribosomal RNA", at positions 917 to 1271 of the family's 1533-position model. The record is from RNAcentral.